Molecule: ribosomal RNA, 1337 nt
Filed under: Staphylococcus aureus
Lineage: Bacteria; Bacillati; Bacillota; Bacilli; Caryophanales; Staphylococcaceae
Description: partial 23S ribosomal RNA
Rfam family: Bacterial large subunit ribosomal RNA
Source: RNAcentral
AUGGGGAGAAGACAUUGUGUCUUCGAGUCGUUGAUUUCACACUGCCGAGAAAAGCCUCUAGAUAGAAAAUAGGUGCCCGUACCGCAAACCGACACAGGUAGUCAAGAUGAGAAUUCUAAGGUGAGCGAGCGAACUCUCGUUAAGGAACUCGGCAAAAUGACCCCGUAACUUCGGGAGAAGGGGUGCUCUUUAGGGUUAACGCCCAGAAGAGCCGCAGUGAAUAGGCCCAAGCGACUGUUUAUCAAAAACACAGGUCUCUGCUAAACCGUAAGGUGAUGUAUAGGGGCUGACGCCUGCCCGGUGCUGGAAGGUUAAGAGGAGUGGUUAGCUUCUGCGAAGCUACGAAUCGAAGCCCCAGUAAACGGCGGCCGUAACUAUAACGGUCCUAAGGUAGCGAAAUUCCUUGUCGGGUAAGUUCCGACCCGCACGAAAGGCGUAACGAUUUGGGCACUGUCUCAACGAGAGACUCGGUGAAAUCAUAGUACCUGUGAAGAUGCAGGUUACCCGCGACAGGACGGAAAGACCCCGUGGAGCUUUACUGUAGCCUGAUAUUGAAAUUCGGCACAGCUUGUACAGGAUAGGUAGGAGCCUUUGAAACGUGAGCGCUAGCUUACGUGGAGGCGCUGGUGGGAUACUACCCUAGCUGUGUUGGCUUUCUAACCCGCACCACUUAUCGUGGUGGGAGACAGUGUCAGGCGGGCAGUUUGACUGGGGCGGUCGCCUCCUAAAAGGUAACGGAGGCGCUCAAAGGUUCCCUCAGAAUGGUUGGAAAUCAUUCAUAGAGUGUAAAGGCAUAAGGGAGCUUGACUGCGAGACCUACAAGUCGAGCAGGGUCGAAAGACGGACUUAGUGAUCCGGUGGUUCCGCAUGGAAGGGCCAUCGCUCAACGGAUAAAAGCUACCCCGGGGAUAACAGGCUUAUCUCCCCCAAGAGUUCACAUCGACGGGGAGGUUUGGCACCUCGAUGUCGGCUCAUCGCAUCCUGGGGCUGUAGUCGGUCCCAAGGGUUGGGCUGUUCGCCCAUUAAAGCGGUACGCGAGCUGGGUUCAGAACGUCGUGAGACAGUUCGGUCCCUAUCCGUCGUGGGCGUAGGAAAUUUGAGAGGAGCUGUCCUUAGUACGAGAGGACCGGGAUGGACAUACCUCUGGUGUACCAGUUGUCGUGCCAACGGCAUAGCUGGGUAGCUAUGUGUGGACGGGAUAAGUGCUGAAAGCAUCUAAGCAUGAAGCCCCCCUCAAGAUGAGAUUUCCCAACUUCGGUUAUAAGAUCCCUCAAAGAUGAUGAGGUUAAUAGGUUCGAGGUGGAAGCAUGGUGACAUGUGGAGCUGACGAAUACUAA